CUGAUGCUGGAAUACAAAAAAUAAUAUAGCACAGAGAUAGUCCUGGCCCUGAAGGCACCUACAAUCUAAGCGUAUGAUAACACAGCAAAAGCAGUGCACCGGCUAGCCAACCUGAGCUGGCUGCAUCCAGCUGGCGCAGAUCUUAGCAGAAGUGAGGAAAGUGCAGGAUGAGCUUCAGAGUAGGCUAGCGAGACAAGUACAUACCUGGGGUCAGACCAUGUGGUACAACCCCAGCACGGAGGCCUCCACCAUUGCCUGUGCUAACUGGAUUCAAACUAGCUUGGUUAGGCUAGUCCAGGCACAGCUUUCGCUGAGGAGAUGUAUGUUAGGUGGAUUAGUUUAUAGAUGACUAGUGGAUAAAACGGAUGGAGGAGCGCAAGGUAACAACGAGAUGUGGUGCUCAGCAUUAACACCACAAACCAACUGCCUAAGCAUUGAGACUUCGCUCCUGGUUCUGGGAGAGACUGAGCUCUGUAAAUUCCUAUUCAAGUCAAUAAGGGGAAGAAUGGUAUUGAUCUUAAGGCACUGAACUGGGACUCAAGUGAUCUCCUGGUUCAAUUCCCAGUACUGCCAAGGCUUCCUGGGUGACCUCAGAGGAAGGCACCUGUGGACUUACUCUGCCUUUUUGGAGCAGCGGAGACAGAAGCAGACCCAUCCGAGGAGACGCAUGCCAUGCCUGGGAGAUUGUAGGACCCAUUUGGGGUUGUAGUAAACGACACUUCGAUUAAUACCUGUUCAAAAUUUUCCUUGAGCAAACUAUAUUUUUUGCAUCCAGAACAUCACCAUAAAUUGCUACAACUUGCUGUAGUGUUCCACCCCCAUCUCUGAAUGUGUUGUAGCUUGUGAUAAUUUCAAUAAAAUAUUUUGAGCAUGCAGAGAGACAUUGUUAGUGACUUUUGUCACAAGAUGGAUGCACUUCGCUCAACAGAGCAGUCAGUCUUUGAAGGAAAUAUAUCAAAACCAGGCAAGGCGGAGACAAGCAUCUGAAUGCAACAGGGAAAGAAGAAUUGCCUCCUCCAGUUGCCAGACAGUCCCUCAGUUUAACAGCAAAGUCACUGAAACAGAUGCAAAUCACACACCACGGCUGUCUAUGUUUAGAAACCAAUACACGAUGUGAACUCUCACAGACUAUUAAGCAGGUGGCAACCAUUUAGCUUCAGUAUUGCAUGCUCUCUAAGGAAAAGAAAUAUACCUGACAGAUGCUCACUAUUCCGAGUGUACCUGAAUAGACAGAGGGCAGACACUGGACAACAUCCUGUUCUCUUGGGUGAUGUCUACACUGGCAACUGAGUGACACAACUUUUGUCUUUUGGGGUUGGGGGGGAUGGUGUGGUUUUUUUUAAACACUUCAGUCAGCAAAACUUGUGUCUUUCAGAAGUGCUCUCUGCCAACAAAGCUAACCUCCGCUUGGUGGGGGUGGAAAUAUUUUGUCGGCAGGAGAGGCGCACAGGGUAGCCGCUGUCUGCUUUUAGCAGCACGGCUGUAGUGAACUAGCCAUGAUGCUAAAAGCGGCAUAGUGCAGACAGCCUUACUCUGGAUUAAACUGAUCAAACUCAGCUGGAGUUAGUGGAAGUGCACUGUUUUAAAUGAGAUGAAAAUCAGACCCACUAGUCUCCAGUUGAAUUUGCCUCCCAAAUAUACAUGCUGCUAGUGAGUGAAUCAAAGGUAGCUGAAAUGCUAUAUGCAUUGCUUCCCUGUGAUUAGUAGCAGCUGAUGACAGUGUUUUCUGGACUAUUUUAGGGUCCUAUCCUGCAAAUGCCAAGUACACUCAACUCCCUUUUAAUUCAGUUGUGACUUGUGGGUGCUUAUACAAUCGAGUCUUUUAUUUGCUCUUUUAUUUGAGUGCCCACUCCUGGAAUCUUAGUCACAUGAGCAGGCUU
Long non-coding RNA from Mauremys mutica (yellowpond turtle), 1880 nucleotides. RefSeq lists it as uncharacterized. Lineage: Eukaryota; Metazoa; Chordata; Testudines; Geoemydidae. The transcript is spliced from 3 exons. The record is from RefSeq and is a predicted model, not a curated record.